UACAGAGGUCCCAAGCGUUGUUCGGAUUCACCGGGCGUAAAGGGUGCGUAGGCGGUCGGGUAAGUCUGAUGUGAAAUCUCACAGCUUAACUGUGAAACUGCAUUGGAUACUAUUCGGCUUGAGAGUUGGAGGGGGGACUGGAAUUCUUGGUGUAGCAGUGAAAUGCGUAGAUAUCAAGAGGAACACCAGUGGCGAAGGCGAGUCCCUGGACAACUUCUGACGCUGAGGCACGAAAGCUAGGGGAGCAAACAGG
This 253-nucleotide ribosomal RNA is filed under the name uncultured bacterium. RNAcentral describes it as "partial 16S ribosomal RNA". It matches the Rfam family "Bacterial small subunit ribosomal RNA", at positions 524 to 776 of the family's 1533-position model. The record is from RNAcentral.